GGAGUAUCGCUGCCUCGUGCCUGUACACCGAACGGUCGGCGGGCGAUCCGCGUCGGUCUCGCUGGGUGGUAUGGUUCCCCAGAGGCCGGUUCUUGUGCUGCCUACCCCUUCAGGGGAAGCGGGCCGCUCGAUGCAAGCCUCCAUCCCGCGCCCUCCAACGGGCGCAGGAGGACAACGGAGCACCCCCCGCGUUCCACCGAGCCUCCUCGGUCGCGUGGCGCGCGGGGGCGUGCGAUGCUCUCGGACCCAGCGAACGCCGUGGGCGGGGACUCACGUCCCAGUCCCGAUAGAAGCUCCCACAUAAUGCUGACGGCCGCUCCCGUCCCCCGACCGCCCCGGCGGCGCGGGGGCGAGGCGCGGCGUCGCGGAGGAAUGCUACCU
This 381-nucleotide unclassified non-coding RNA is filed under the name Acacia grandifolia. RNAcentral describes it as "partial external transcribed spacer". Lineage: Eukaryota; Viridiplantae; Streptophyta; Magnoliopsida; Fabales; Fabaceae. The record is from RNAcentral.